RNAcentral lists this non-coding RNA (26 nucleotides) under Homo sapiens (human). Lineage: Eukaryota; Metazoa; Chordata; Mammalia; Primates; Hominidae. The record is from RNAcentral.
UUGCCCAAGACAUCUCACAUGACCAA